GAUAUAGUCUUUAAGAAAAACAAACAAUGUUUAUAUUUAGUUAACUAAGUUUAUAAACUUUUUAACAAAAUACACAUAAAUUUUAGGUAAAAUUGUUAAAAAGACGAAAUUUGGCGUGAAAUUUGUUAAAUGUGUUUAUAAAAUUAUUGAUUUAUAUUGUAUUUUAUACUGAAUUCGAAGCACAAAUCAAAAGUUUUGACACUUUACAUGAAAUUUGUUCAACUGAAAUUGCCUAUAAAUUUGGAGAUUUUUUUUAAUUGUGUUUCAAAAACACAUAUUAUUUAUUAUUUAAAAACUUAUUUACCCUUCUCCUAGUGGAAAAUUGCCCAAAGAAUCCGAAAAUGAAUUCCGUUUUCCGAUUCAAAAUCAUGUUCAUUGAGAAAAUCAUGACACUUUGAGAAGUUAAAAAUAAUGACUUUCAUCAACAUUUUCUUAACUUUAGUUAACUAACUUUUUAAACUAUUCUAAAUUUUAUAAAAAGUUCUUUUUGAGGUACUUCGAACACUUCUCAAUCGCAGUCAGUAUGAUUCUUAAAAAUUCCGUACGUAUUUUAAUUGUACUCUUCAUUUUGCGAAAAAAUACCAAACCUAUCAAAGUCACCACGUUUUACGGUACCAUUUUUGUACGGACAGCUGCCGAAAUUGUAUGGAGCUUUGUAUUAGUGAACCAAUGAUAGAAAAGGGCCCCAAAAAGUAUGAGCCAAAUCAAAAAUAUAAAUAAAAUCUUUUUCCGGUUUUGGUGGAAAAUUGCUCUUUAGUGUUUAUGGUUGAUCAAUGAUCAUGACUUCUACUGGCAAAAAAGUAACGAAAAACAAAAUUGUAUCAGAUAACAAUUUUAUUCUCCAUCUGAAAAUUUAGUAAAACAUUGUUUGACUAUAUUUAAGUUUACGUUUUCGGCAAAUAAUGAUUGGCCAAAUAAUAGCAGCACUUUCAAAUGAAUUUUUACCAUCCUAUUUUUAACUCAAAAGAUGUCAUUUUCAGUUUUAACGUUGGACGCGAUUCGUGAACAGGGAACAAAAUUACUCCGUUAGACAAAGUCUCACGAAAACGUUUUUCCGAUUUUGUGUUACAUAGUUGUCGAAGAAAAUUAUAAAUUACCCAUAGGCCAAAAUAGGCUACUAUUUCAUGGUUUGCAGUCAAAAUUAUUCAAAAACUUACAUGGGACACUUUUGCGUUGACCGAUCAAAUCUUGCAGCAAAUCAACUUCCAACUGUCCAUCGAUGUUUCCUCUGCUAUUCUACCGUGGAUCUGACUCACAGUCUGACCAGAACUUGACACUACGUUGGACGCUUUUCCUGCGCUGGUAAAUCCACGAUGGGACAAUCGCAGUCACGACGCCAGCAGCGGGCCGAAGAUAUCCGAUACGGAGUCUCGAUAAACAAUGCGCGGCGAGAGCAAGGAAGUUUGCUUGUAUUUUUGAUAAAAUGCUGGUUCGUUUUUGCGACUUGUUGGGCGAUUCGAGAUUGUAAAGGAUUCUGGAAAAAAAUGGAGUUGCUAUUUUCAUUGCUUCAUAAUAGACUGUUUUUGAACGACCACGGAAUUAGUGAAAGUUUGAAAAUAAUUUUAAGCAUUUGCAUUGUAUUUGCAAGUUUGUUGGUAUUCAUUCCGUUAGCCUUAGCAGUCAUUAUUCGAGUACUAGCUCUGUGGCUUAUUUGUGGUGACCAAUGGUGCCAUUUUGAUCCAUUAGAAUCGAUGAACGUCACGAAAAACUUUUAAAUCUUUUGGUAUGUGUAAGUUUUCUGAUAACUCAAGCCAACCAAAAUGGGAAAAGGGACUAAAGGUAAAUCUUUCCCAAAUUCCUGAGAAUCGCCCUCUUGGAAAGUAUCGGGGCCAGCAGGUUACACCCUUCGUAUACAAUCACACAUAGGCCCAAUCACAUUGUUUUGCUUGAUUUUAUCUUUCUUUUUCCUAUUUUUCCGUACUCCGUUUCACUUCUAACUGAAAUGUUCUAAUAUGUGUAUGAUAAAUCACAAGAAUAAAAAAACAACAUAAAAGCUUGUUUCUGUAAAAGGUGUUUUUUUUUAUUAAUACUUUGAUGCCACAAAUGCAGGGAUUUUAUAUUCGAUUUGGUGUCUUCGGCAAACUUGUAGGUUAUGAUUAUUUUUAGUAUUUUUUUUAAAAUAUUUAUCCCAUUUUACAACAAAACAAAAACCCGAUGUGUUGAAGUAGAUAAAAAUCUAAAAAUAUUUGUUUCAAGGAGUUGAGAAAAUUUCACACAAAUUUUACUCUUUAACAUCGAAAAUCUUAACAAGAUAUAAUCGAUUGAAAAUUGAGGGUCAACUUGAUACAACUUAAAAAAAAACUUAUUUUGAUAAUUUUCACUCCUUGCUUGGCCAAUGGCCAUUGGCCAUAUCUCAGCAACCAAUUCGCCGCUUUUCGAAUAUAUUGUUU
Culex pipiens pallens (northern house mosquito) is the source of this 2390-nucleotide long non-coding RNA. RefSeq lists it as uncharacterized. The record is from RefSeq and is a predicted model, not a curated record. Lineage: Eukaryota; Metazoa; Arthropoda; Insecta; Diptera; Culicidae. The transcript is spliced from 2 exons.